This 233-nucleotide unclassified non-coding RNA is filed under the name uncultured fungus. Its description in RNAcentral is "sequence contains ITS1, 5.8S rRNA gene". The stretch from base 185 to 233 matches the Rfam family "5.8S ribosomal RNA", at positions 1 to 49 of the family's 154-position model. The record is from RNAcentral. Lineage: Eukaryota; Fungi.
UCUCCGUUGGUGAACCAGCGGAGGGAUCAUUAUAGAGUUUUUAACUCCCAAACCCAUGUGAACCUACUAUUUUGUUUCCUCGGCGGGCGGCCCCAGUGGGGGCCCGCGGCCCUAUGGUGCCCGCCGGAGCUACAAAACUCUAGCCGUCUUAGUAACCUUCUGAGGAACAAGCAAAUAAAGUUAAAACUUUCAGCAACGGAUCUCUUGGUUCUGGCAUCGAUGAAGAACGCAGC